UACUAUUUAUUAACAGUGCCAACCUGGUUUUGUCCCUCAUUCUCUUGAUGGUUUUUAAGUUUUAGUGGGGUUGUAUGGUGAAUUGGCCAUUUUGCCCCUCUCUCGUUUUUCUUCCUGUGCGUGCGUGUUGUGUUUUCAAGGGUUCCCAUCUUUCACUUUUCACUUUCCUCUUCUUUUCUUCUUUCCGUUUCUCUCUAUUUUUCUCAUCUGUAUUUUGGUAUCGAUUCCGAUCGAAUUCUCUACAAGGUGUUUGCCCUUUUUCCCCUUGUUUUCCACGAAGGAAUCGCUCGCGUCUAGGUAGCCAUGUUCAGUUUUUCAGUUUGAUUUGAAGGAAUUUCUUGUGCAGAAGAGCUAGGGUUUCUUGGAUAUCGUGGUUUUUUGGAUUUGGGACUUUUGUUUGCAGCCUUCAGAGCCCUGUGUAUUUGAGGUAAAUUUCAAUUUGGAAAAAAAAAAUCUCUGCUGCAUUUCGGUUCCUACAAUAAUUUUAGCUCCUGAAGUAGCUUUCAGCUGUCAAGGUUACAAACAAUUAAGUGUGUUUCAACGCACGGCACCACUUCCUAGUUAUACCUAUACUAAAACUCAGAUGAAAAACACUUUUCACCAACAGUGCAUUCACAAAGCUGCUCCUCCAACUAAGCCAUCGCCGCUCUCUUCUUCUCUCUCACAAAACUAAGCCAUCGCCGCUGUUCUUCUUUCUAAAAAAAACCACGAUCCUCGACAUUUCUGUCAACAUUCGAGCUUUGCAUGCACAAAUUCGUUUCGUGUAUAAACAAAUUUUUUAACAGUCGAGCUAUGUUAAAUAGAUUUGUCCAACUUUGUAUGAAUAAUUAGUGAAUUAUUUGUUGUUUUAGGUUUUUAAUUUGGAUUUUUUGUGUGGGAUUUGUUACAUUGUUUUGUUUGUUACUGGGUUUUCUUUGCGAUUUGUUCCUUUUUUUUUUUCUUCUUGGAUUAUUAUUUUGAUUUUGUGCAUUUUUAGGUUAGUUGGUUGUGGGUUAUGAUUAAAAUAUUUUGAUUUUGUGCGGUUUUUCGAGGAACUAUGAUUUCCAUAUCCAUUAAAAUAUUUUGUAAUCAGAGGCAAUUACUUAGA
Long non-coding RNA from Pyrus x bretschneideri (Chinese white pear), 1087 nucleotides. RefSeq lists it as uncharacterized. The record is from RefSeq and is a predicted model, not a curated record. The transcript is spliced from 5 exons. NCBI's taxonomy places the organism in Eukaryota, Viridiplantae, Streptophyta, Magnoliopsida, Rosales, Rosaceae.